AACGAACGCUGGCGGCAGGCUUAACACAUGCAAGUCGAACGGAUCCUUCGGGAUUAGUGGCAGACGGGUGAGUAACGCGUGGGAACGUACCCUUUGCUACGGAAUAACUCAGGGAAACUUGAGCUAAUACCGUAUGUGCCCUACGGGGGAAAGAUUUAUCGGCAAAGGAUCGGCCCGCGUUGGAUUAGCUAGUUGGUGGGGUAAUGGCCUACCAAGGCGACGAUCCAUAGCUGGUCUGAGAGGAUGAUCAGCCACACUGGGACUGAGACACGGCCCAGACUCCGACGGGAGGCAGCAGUGGGGAAUAUUGGACAAUGGGCGCAAGCCUGAUCCAGCCAUGCCGCGUGAGUGAUGAAGGUCUUAGGAUUGUAAAGCUCUUUCACCGGUGAAGAUAAUGACGGUAGCCGGAGAAGAAGCCCCGGCUAACUUCGUG
This 433-nucleotide ribosomal RNA is filed under the name uncultured bacterium. Its description in RNAcentral is "partial 16S ribosomal RNA". It matches the Rfam family "Bacterial small subunit ribosomal RNA", at positions 29 to 507 of the family's 1533-position model. The record is from RNAcentral.